CAUUAGGUAUAUCUGCCAAUGCCAUCCUUCCCCCCUCCCCCCCACCCCACAACAGGCCCCGGUGUGUGAUGUUCCCCUUCCUGUGUCCCAGUGUUCUCAUUGUUCAAUUCCCACCUAUGAGUGAGAACAUGUCAUGUUUGGUUUUUUGUCCUUGUGAUAGUUUGCUGAGAAUGAUGGUUUCCAGCUUCAUCCAUGUCCCUACAAAGGACAUGAACUCAUCAUUUUUUAUCAUGAGCGUGCAUAUGCACACACACACACACACACACACACACACACACACACACAUGCAUCUUUGGAGAGCCAUUUGAGAGUAAGUUGCAUAUAUUAUAGCUUUUCUCCUAAAUAUUACAGUGUUUACUUGCUAGAAAUAAUGGUGUUUUCUUACAUAACCGCAAGGUGGUUAUUAAUUUCAGUAGAUGCUGAUGUAAUACCUUGAUGUAAUCUGCUGUCCCUAUUCCAGUUUUGUCAUUUUUAUCCUGAAUGGUGGCUGCCAGCUAUUAAAAUGCUAGUUACCCCAAAAAUACAAAAACACCAAAUACAGGAGCCAAAGACAGCCAGAAAACAAGAGGAAUGAAGUCUACUGAGUUCUGAUGCUUGAGCUGCUUUUAUAAAACAAAAUGUGACUUUCAUGCUAAGGAUUGCCCUUAACUGGUAUUCAGUUUUUCUCUGGAUUCUUUAUCUGCCCUGUCCAGCUGACCUUCCUGUUGUAAAUGUGGAUAAUUAUUAUCUAAGUUUACUAAGUGUUUUGUGUAGUGUCACCGUAUCAGAUCUAGUACAGCACUAAGUGCUUAUCCUCCCAACAUUUAAAUAUAUUUUGGGUAUUAACCUUUUAUCAGAUAUAUGGUUUGCAAAUGUUUUCUCCCAUUCUGUAGGUUGCCCCUUAUCCAUUUAUCUGUUGCUGGACACUUACAUUAAUUCCAAGUCUUGGCUAUUGUGAGUAAUGCAGCAAUAAAGAAGAAAGUGCAGAUAAUUUUUCAACACAAUGAUUUCCAUUCUUUUGGAUAGAUACCUAGCAGUGGGAUUGCUGGAUCAUGUGGUAGUUCUAUCGUUAGUUUUUGAGGAACCUCCAUACUGUUCUUCAUAGUGGUUGCCCUAAUUUGCAUUCCCACCAACCGUGUACAAGGGUUGCCCUCAUAUGCUCUCCAGCAUUCAUUAUUGCCUGACUUUUGGGUAAAAGCCAUUUUAACUGGGGUGAGAUGAUAUUUCAUUGUGGUUUUGAUUUGCAUUUUUCUGGUUAUUAAUGAUGUUGAGCCUUUUUCGUAUACCUGU
This 1269-nucleotide long non-coding RNA is filed under the name Homo sapiens (human). RNAcentral's name for it is "non-protein coding lnc-C1orf87-7:1". The record is from RNAcentral. Lineage: Eukaryota; Metazoa; Chordata; Mammalia; Primates; Hominidae.